RNAcentral lists this long non-coding RNA (7879 nucleotides) under Brassica napus (rape). RNAcentral's name for it is "long non-coding RNA (BNAP_LNC022176)". The record is from RNAcentral. Lineage: Eukaryota; Viridiplantae; Streptophyta; Magnoliopsida; Brassicales; Brassicaceae.
CGCGUUCAUCUGGAGAGGGAUCAGAGCAGGUGGGUCGCACCUGCCGUGCACGUGAGGCUGGUAGCUAGGUAGGUCCGGGUUAUCCACGAUUCCCGGGUCUGGUAUAACGGCGUAAACCAUCGGUGCAGAAGGAAGGUGAGCCUGCGACGUGGACGAUCUCUCCAUCGGCGCCGCUAGCCUCGGCGCCGCGACUGCUCGGUCGUGUCCGAAGUAAAUUCGUUUGGCUAGUUUAAGCCCGUCGUCCACCGCUCUUGCGAAAUCCUCCGCCAUCUCUCCGAUACAGACGGCGAAAGAAACGUUGUCUCGGGGGGUUGAUUGUCUCUUCUCUUUCGAAUCGUUGAGCUGAAUCGAUUUCGUUUGCUUUUUUUCAGACAGCGAAAUCACUUCAGAGCUGUGUCUUUUCCAGCGCAUUUACUUCACUAAAUUAAUUUUUAUAUAAUCUUGCAUUUUACUAAAAUACCCCUUUUAUUUUAGGCGCGAUCGAGAUCCAACGGUUGAGAGGCAGUUAAAUAUGCCGACAAGGUGUGCAAUCAGCUACGUCCGGUAUUCAUUUUUGUGAACGGGAUUUACAAAUUCGCGCGGACGAAUCGUUUCUCUCCACGUGGCAGCGGACCCAUUCCAACGAGAGUAGUUGAAGCUUUCGAUUCUUGCCUUUAACGUUCUUCAACGGUAAAAGCUCAUGGAUGCUUGUGCGCUCUCACGUGAUUAGCCCUUGGCUCAUGGGGCUUUCCAUGGGCUUAUUGGAGUCAAGUGGCGUAUUAUUGGUGUAAUGGUGUGUAUGAUUUCCUGAUCAUCAUUUUCUUUUUUCAAUUUAUGUGACUACAAUGCAAAUAGUUAACGUGAACUAUGAUCAAUCAGUGCCUGGAUUACACAUUUGAAGUUUGUAGAUCCAAUCACAGAAGACAUGAAGGUACUAUUUAGUACAAAAAUUCACAGAUUCUAAUUUCGCAUUCGGGAAGAAUGUCAAAUGAUACGAACGGUACUCUUUUUAGGUAACAUUAAGCGUUUUUUCUCCUGAAACUUUUAGGAUUUAUUGUUUCAUUAACUUCUGAUUUCAUUAAACAAAAAGAUAAUUUGAUUUCAUAAACAUUAAUUCUUGUUUUUCUUUUCACAACCUAGGCUAUCCUUACGUAAACAAAGGAGCUUUAAACCUAGUAGAUGGAUAUCAUAUGAUUAGCCAAAAAAGUGUUUUUGUAAAUGCAGAGAAGCUUUCUCCUACGUAUUUACAUUUCUGCUGCGCUCCUCCUUCACCGUACCCAAAGCUUGUAGCUCUUCCAUUAACCUUUCAUACUCACUUUUAACCUUCUCCAGCUCACUACUUAGAUUCAUCGCCUGUGCAUUCAGGAAAAACCAAACAAAUUUUUAUUUCAACUCAAAAGUAGAAUCCCAUUCAGCAGAAUAUGGAGGCUUUUAUGUCGUCGACAUAGGCCACCGAUGGAUGGAACUUGCCAUUACUAAGCAGCUUAAAAACCAAUUAAUAAUAAAUAGUUUAAUAACAGAGUACAACAAGACUCAAGGACACGCUAAACUGGCUCCACAUAUUUAAUAUUCCUUCUAAAGUAGGGUUGCGAUUUGGCAGGAACAACGGUAAGUCAAAACCACCAAAGUAAAUGAAAGAGACAGGCAAGUUGAUACAAAUAGGGUUAUUAAUGUCAUAAGGAUGUACCUUCAGUUCAAGGUUUUGACUUCGCACCCUGUGGUCCAAACAUCUGCGUAGAAGAGAUAUAUUAUAAAUGUCUGACAGAAAAAUCAAAAACAAACGCGGAUAAAUGAAAAUAUAUAUAUAUAUAUAUAUAUUACAUAAUUCAACUUACUUUGCUCGGAGCUUCUUGUUCUCGUCCAUCAACUUGGUAGUUUCACUAUCUUGUGACCGAGUUGCUGAUCCCUGAACAAACUUCAGAGAGUGUGCCAAACGAAUGAAGUUAGAGAAAACGGAAUAUGAGCACAAGUGGUUACAAACUAAAGUUACUAUCCUGUUUCUAUGUGGGCACAUUUGCGUGAGCUAUAUAACGCAUAAAGGAAGUGCUCAUAUUUAACUCUAGUUAGCAAUAAUAGUCAUGGGAUUAAACAUGUUCACCAGAAAAUUAAAGAGAAGAAAACAUAUGUUUUGAGGUACCUGUUCAACCCGAAUAUGCCCUGGGACAGAGAAGCCAUCAUUUCCCACUUUUCUUUUUGACGCUGCACUUGCAACAAGAUCAGGAUGCUCUUUCCUCUUCUCCAACACCACUGCAACAAUAAUGCAAACAUCACGUGUCAGCAUCAGAGAGAGAUUUCAGGAGUGCUGGAACGUGAUAUAUAGAGUAGAAAACGACGUCCAACAAAUGAACAUGUGAAAUUAAUCAUAAUAAUAGCAAGAGCACUCGUAAUCACUGUCUUAAAAGAGUGACAGUUUUCCAGAAAGAUAUUGUGUAUUGUGUUCUUCUAUUCUAACUCUUUAGUAGCAUUUUACCUGGCUCAGAUGAAACUCUAGGAAGAGAUGCCAAAUUUGCAUUAUGAAAAACUCCUGGGAAGCCUGGAGGAGGAUUUAUUGUUUGUCUGCCACUAUCUCCAGCAGAAUUAUUCUGGAACAUGUUGACAUUUGUCCUACCACCAGGUUGAAGAUUUUGAGGUGCCGUAGGACGACGCUUCUUAAGAUCUCGAUACCCAAUCAACACAGAAUGGCAGUUCCUAUAAAAGAAGUACAAUCAUUCGAAAGGGUAAAGAAACAAUGGGAAGCGAUACAAGCCAACCCAGAGGUAUUGGAGAAAAGGCAAAACGGAGGACUGAAACCCCAUGCUCAGCAAGCGAACAAGAAAUCGAAACUGUAAUAUUAUCUACUUUUGGCGAUCGAAUAGUUUAAGGUAGAAACAUAACAGCCACCAAAAAGAUAAAGGCUUAGGAGAUUACCAAUACUCCACUGUCAUUUCCUUUAAACGCUUUUCAAGUUUCUGAAGAAGGACGGUUUUCUCAAAAUCCUGCUUGUUGUGGGUUGGCUCAACAAAAUUAGCUUCUAGAUUUUCUAUUUUUAAACUCUUACACUCUUCAUCUUUAUGUAUUUUAAUCUGUCCUUCUGAUGUUUAUUAUAUUCUUUUGAUCUAACUAAAUACUGCAAUAAAUCCAGCCAUAUGACUUGGUUAAAUACAUUAUUAUAUGACGAGAUAAACGCUUUAAAUAUUAGAAAAUAUCUCACAUUCAGAAUCAGUAUUGACCCAUUUCUUGGCGUCGACACUUGAACGAGCUUCAUCUAUAAUCUUAUGAUUCUCCAAAUACUUCUUUGCUAUAGCAUUUGAACGUUGUGGAUGUAUCUUCUUGUUAAGUAUUGUCCUUAGCAUCUGCACACAAACACAAAAUAUAGAUAAAUGUGUCUGAAUAAUUUGAACAUCUAUUUAAUGGAUAUGUAGUACCUUUUCCAUUCUUGUAUUAGGCAAUGAAUCUCUAGACAAAUCAAGAAGAGGAGGUGGAGUUUUGAAGCCACUUGUGCAAACAAACAUUUUCUUGAGAAGAAAAGAGAGCGAUUUCUUCUUUCCAAUACUAACAUCUGUAUUAGUGGCAGUGAGAUCUUUGCUAGAAUCUGUGUCUUCUUCCUCUUCUUCCUUGGAGAUGAUAUUGUUUCCAAGUGUUCCAAUGGCUAAGAAGGUUUCUUCAUCUUGAGGCCAACUUUGGAGGUCUUUACCCAAAGCAGGCCCUGAUGAUUCUUGAGCUAUAUAUAUAUAUAUAUACAUCAUCAAACAGAUCAGUGCUCUAUGCAAAUAUUCUUAGUAUAAUAAUAGUUUUCACUUACAAGAAUCUGAAGCUGACUCAUGCUUCUUUCCACUAAGUCUUCUUUGAACCCAACUAAAAAUCUAUAUCCAAAUAAAAUUUUACAUAAUCAAAUAAAGAUAAACACAACACAAAUGUUGAGUUACUUCAGACAAAUAUGAAAACAAACCUUCAUGUUUCAAGAGAUAUAUAAAUAAGCACAUGUGUAUGUGUCCAAGAAAUUUUCUUUUUAUGUCGAUGAUCUUUGAUCUCCUUGAAUAGUAAUUAGCUUUAGAAGAUAAGAGAUGAUCAUAGUGGUCCCAUGUUUUUAAAGACACAGUAAACACAAAUCCCUGAAGCCAGCAAAAAGCCAGUUGGGUUCAAGUUUCUAUAAACUCCUCGAAACCAGUUUUCUUACAACUUCAAAGUCACCAUUUCUUCUAGCAUGAUCCCAUCUUUGUGGACUUUGUUGAAUGUUGGUUCACCAAAAUCACAUUCUUAUAAUAUAAAAUAUGGUUUUAAAAGAUCGAAAUCAAGUAACAAGUUGAAUGAAAACACAUGGAUUUGUCUGUUCUUUUACACUUUUCUCCCCUGAAAGCAAACUAUACAAGUAAAACUUUUAUAUUUCACCAAGCCGUAUAGAGUAAAAUGUACAAACUUACUGAAGCUGCUUCAUAAAGCUUUACACUCGAAAUUCAAAAUCAUAUUUUUUAAUUAUAACUAGUCGUCUCCACCACAGCAGACAUGUGAGCAACAUUCAAAGCAGGCAAUGCAAGCAAUCGCUGUGAAGAGCUGCGUAAAGACAAUGACACAUUGAUCAUUGAGCUUAGUGCAGCAUUGGACACAGCACAUGCAGCAGCAUUUGUUGCACAAGGAAACACAGCAGCUGGAGGCAGCCUUGACGAACUUCUCAGCAGCAUCAGGCGCUCUCGCUUCUCCAAAUCCUGGUGGAACAUUCUCUUUGGUAGCUGUUGUAUCACCAAAGCCUAUCCCAAAGUUUUGUAGUGGGAUUGUUCUUGAUACCACCUUCUGUUUCUCUCCGUUGGUUUCAGUCUGUUGAAAUAUUUGGUGAAUAUAUAAGUUUCAGAUAAGUAUGCUUUUGUUCAUAACUUCUAGAUAUGUAUAUAUAUAUACCUUUUUCUUUCCACCAGUGUUGAUGGGUUUGGAUGCUUCUUCUGUGUUCUCCAACUGGAUCAUUCGAGUAUACUCAGAUGGUACACCAGUUUGGAUGCUUAGUCUAGUAAUCUGAGAAGAAAAAAAGAUCAAACAAAAUGAAGAAGACAAUACUAAAGAUGGAAAAGUAUAAGAAAAACGAACCUUUUCUUUUAGCUGGUUGUCUUCAGAGAACCAAGCCUCAGCAGUAAGCAAGUCAAUCACAUUUUUAGCAAACACCUGAAACAGUUUGUUAAACACUUUAGAAGGAAGCACCCUUGGGAAUAAUAAUGAAAUGGAAGGUGAUGGAUGAUCUUUACUUUAUCAAGAGGCAUGUCUUUUGCACUUUGUACAGUCAAGUCUACAGAAAAGCUGCUCAAAUCUCCGAGCAGACCAUUUGCUUUCACACUCUCAGGGAACUUUCCUCUGUAUCUCCCAUACACCAUCAAUGGGCUUGAGGAAGUCAGAUCAGGAAUGUUUGAAGGGUACACCUAUUAGUAGUCACAGGUAAACACUUUCAGAUUUUGACAGAAAAUAUAAGCAAUGAAUCUUAGCAUAGAGAGACUCACCUCAACUUCAUCAAGAUUCUGCAGAGGCUCAAUUGUUAUAUUCAAAAGAACAGUGGACAAAGCCCUUGUAAACAACUUGUCUAACCGUUCCUCAAUGUGAUCUACAAAUUAAAAAAAAUGUUUUAAGAAAACUAUAAUUUUUCAUUCACCAUAUGGACUCACUCCAAGUAUAUUACCUGUAUUAUAAACUGAUUCAUGCUGUCCCCUGGAUAGAUUAGCAAGCAUUUGAAGGAAGUAGUGAUUACAGAACACACCUAAGUUCACAUAUGAAGAGGUCAAUAAAAAAAGAUAAUCCAAAAAAACCUUGGAGAAAAGAGUUUUUACCUAACCCAAAAGUGUGUAUCCGUGGCCACACUGAACCAGCAUUAGCAAGACGUUUCUUCAUCACAUUACAAAUGUGUCUCUCAUCUUCAACAGACCCAUCUGUUAGGGAGAAGAUCAUAGGAACGGAGCCGCGAGUAUUCGAAAGCAUUUCCACAGCCUGAUAAGUAUUGAGGAAGCUAUUAAUCACUAAAGUAUUAAGCUUUUUUUUUAAGCUACAAACAAGUGAGUGGAGGAAAGACCUUCUCUAGUGGAGGGAGCAUGUUGGUACCAUCUGCGACAACAAAGCUCUUGUUCAUCCACUCAACGCCUCUUUCAACAGCAUCUGGAGUAACCAACUCCAUCGACGUCGAAAACAGAGAAGUAUCAUCACUGAAAGUGAUGAUAUUGAAGGAAUCUUCAGGAUUGAGCUUAGAUAGAGCCGUUGAUAUCGCGUUCUUUACAUCCUCCAGAGGUUUUCCAGACAUGCUCUUACUUAUAUCAACAACAAAGACUACCUCCCGCUUGAAUGCCUUAAGUAGACAACACAAAAGAAACUUAAGAUUAAACUGCAAAUGGCAAUAAAGGCAACAUAAAAUUACAAAACCAAACCUUAGUACUUUGCUGCUUUCCUGGGAAAAGAUAGAAAGAGAAGAUAUCUCUCUGAUCAACAUCUUGAACAGACGCAGAUUGAAGGAAAAGUCCACCAACUAUACUACUUGAAGAGACCUACCAAAGUUAAAACAAAAGGGAUAAGCUCAAUGCAGAAGGCUAGGGCCUAAUGCGGCAUUGAGAGUUCAUACAUACCGUGUAAGAAAAGCUAAAAUCUGUGCUUGACCACUUCAAAACAUCUGCUUCAUAUGCAAACCUUAACUUCCCUGCGUUCCUCAUUUUUUCCUGUAAUACAUGAACAUAAAGACACAGCCUUGCAAUAUCAUGGAGCUUGUUCAGAAAGAUAUAAUGAACCACACCUUAAGUGGAUGACUGCAUCCUUUGCAUAGCACUUCUGUUCCAGUACCGGCGUUAACACUCAAGUGAAUCUUUUCUCUCUUGGAGAUUUUCUUAACCGCAGGAGUCACAUACUCUGGGAAGUUGAAUGGAAUGUCUAGAAAAAACUGGCCAUCGUUGUACGUUAGCUUCUGGGACCAAGACAUCUUGAUAGAGAGGUUGGUGCCUCCAUCAACCUGGAGCAACAAACAAAAAUAUAUAGAGAUAGUCAGAAAGAUGGAAAAAAAAAAACCAAAAUAUUAUAUAAAUAUUCAUAUUUUUCAGCUAAUGCAAAUGCAGUGUAUAAAACCAAAACUUGGUUUCAUUUUACCAUUAGAAUUUCUCAAAUCUUGAUAAUUACCUAAAAUAAAGUUGUAUAUCCUAUUGUAAACCUACCCCUAUCAAUAAUUUGAUUAUGAACAUAUUCUUAGUGACAGCUACAUAACAUCCAAAGAUAAAAUUUUAAAAAUAUCAAAGGUCCACAUCACCUGUGGUACUGUAAGAGUGAAUAUGUUUGGUUUCAAGAAGCCACCACUUUGAGGUUGUGCCGUUUUCUCCAGCUCGUUACCAUCUUGUGCUGUGAUCAGCUGUGUUGUGUAAGAUUUUCUAGGAAUCUCAACCUCAACACCUAGAAUCGAACCCUGUUUAGCCAUACAAUAUUAGUUUGAAAUCAAUAAAACAAUUCUGAUUCAUAGAAACUCUAACAGUGAUCUAAUUUCGUAACGAGAGGGAAAAAUUAAAAAAAAAACGAACCUUGUCUCCUAUAGGAAUAGCGAUUCUGCAAUCACAUUUUUUGCUUCCCAUGACGCAGUGAACACGCCACGAUCCGGUGACGGUGACGAGAGCCGUGUCGAGAUAGCAGUCCACGUGGAGCUCGAUCGCGUUCAUCUGGAGAGGGAUCAGAGCAGGUGGGUCGCACCUGCCGUGCACGUGAGGCUGGUAGCUAGGUAGGUCCGGGUUAUCCACGAUUCCCGGGUCUGGUAUAACGGCGUAAACCAUCGGUGCAGAAGGAAGGUGAGCCUGCGACGUGGACGAUCUCUCCAUCGGCGCCGCUAGCCUCGGCGCCGCGACUGCUCGGUCGUGUCCGAAGUAAAUUCGUUUGGCUAGUUUAAGCCCGUCGUCCACCGCUCUUGCGAAAUCCUCCGCCAUCUCUC